AUAGCAAAUCUUUGUGUUUAUAUUUGUUAUGCUUACUAUUUUAUUUAAUUUCUUUUUCUAUAUAGUAUCUUGCUAUUUAUUUUAAUUUUUUUAUUUUUAUUAAUUUAAUUCGAUUGUUAUUUAGUGGUUUGUAUUUUUUAAAUGUUUACCUUUUAGAUUUAGUUAGUGGUUGAAUUUCCGAUAUUUUUUUAUUCGACUAGUCGAUUUUUG
Molecule: long non-coding RNA, 210 nt
Filed under: Lathyrus oleraceus (garden pea)
Lineage: Eukaryota; Viridiplantae; Streptophyta; Magnoliopsida; Fabales; Fabaceae
Description: Pisum sativum (pea) long non-coding RNA (PSAT_LNC037794)
Source: RNAcentral